GCUGGGCGUGGUGGCGGGCGCCUGUAAUCCCAGCUACUCGGGAGGCUGAGGCAGGAGAAUUGCUUGAACCCAGGAGGCUGAGGCUGCAGUGAGCAGAGAUUACGCCACUGUGCUCCAGCCUGGGCGACAGAGUGAGACUCUGUCUCAU
This 148-nucleotide signal recognition particle RNA is filed under the name Nomascus leucogenys (northern white-cheeked gibbon). RNAcentral describes it as "Metazoan signal recognition particle RNA". It matches the Rfam family "Metazoan signal recognition particle RNA". Rfam says of the family: The signal recognition particle (SRP) is a universally conserved ribonucleoprotein. Lineage: Eukaryota; Metazoa; Chordata; Mammalia; Primates; Hylobatidae. The record is from Rfam by way of RNAcentral.